GACGAACGCUGGCGGCGUGCUUAACACAUGCAAGUCGAACGGAAAGGCCCUGCUUUUGUGGGGUGCUCGAGUGGCGAACGGGUGAGUAACACGUGAGUAACCUGCCCUUGACUUUGGGAUAACUUCAGGAAACUGGGGCUAAUACCGGAUAGGAGCUCCUGCUGCAUGGUGGGGGUUGGAAAGUUUCGGCGGUUGGGGAUGGACUCGCGGCUUAUCAGCUUGUUGGUGGGGUAGUGGCUUACCAAGGCUUUGACGGGUAGCCGGCCUGAGAGGGUGACCGGCCACAUUGGGACUGAGAUACGGCCCAGACUCCUACGGGAGGCAGCAGUGGGGAAUAUUGCACAAUGGGCGGAAGCCUGAUGCAGCAACGCCGCGUGCGGGAUGACGGCCUUCGGGUUGUAAACCGCUUUCGCCUGUGACGAAGCGUGAGUGACGGUAAUGGGUAAAGAAGCACCGGCUAACUACGUGCCAGCAGCCGCGGUGAUACGUGGGGUGCGAGCGUUGUCCGGAUUUAUUGGGCGUAAAGGGCUCGUAGGUGGUUGAUCGCGUCGGAAGUGUAAUCUUGGGGCUUAACCCUGAGCGUGCUUUCGAUACGGGUUGACUUGAGGAAGGUAGGGGAGAAUGGAAUUCCUGGUGGAGCGGUGGAAUGCGCAGAUAUCAGGAGGAACACCAGUGGCGAAGGCGGUUCUCUGGGCCUUUCCUGACGCUGAGGAGCGAAAGCGUGGGGAGCGAACAGGCUUAGAUACCCUGGUAGUCCACGCUGUAAACGGUGGGUACUAGGUGUGGGGUCCAUUCCACGGGUUCCGUGCCGUAGCUAACGCUUUAAGUACCCCGCCUGGGGAGUACGGCCGCAAGGCUAAAACUCAAAGGAAUUGACGGGGCCCCGCACAAGCGGCGGAGCAUGCGGAUUAAUUCGAUGCAACGCGUAGAACCUUACCUGGGUUUGACAUGGAUCGGGAGCGCUCAGAGAUGGGUGUGCCUCUUUUGGGGUCGGUUCACAGGUGGUGCAUGGCUGUCGUCAGCUCGUGUCGUGAGAUGUUGGGUUAAGUCCCGCAACGAGCGCAACCCUUGUUCACUGUUGCCAGCACGUUAUGGUGGGGACUCAGUGGAGACCGCCGGGGUCAACUCGGAGGAAGGUGGGGAUGACGUCAAGUCAUCAUGCCCCUUAUGUCCAGGGCUUCACGCAUGCUACAAUGGCUGGUACAGAGAGUGGCGAGCCUGUGAGGGUGAGCGAAUCUCGGAAAGCCGGUCUCAGUUCGGAUUGGGGUCAGCAACUCGACCUCAUGAAGUCGGAGUCGCUAGUAAUCGCAGAUCAGCAACGCUGCGGUGAAUACGUUCCCGGG
RNAcentral lists this ribosomal RNA (1343 nucleotides) under uncultured bacterium. RNAcentral's name for it is "16S ribosomal RNA". It matches the Rfam family "Bacterial small subunit ribosomal RNA", at positions 28 to 1378 of the family's 1533-position model. The record is from RNAcentral.